UACGUAGGGUGCAAGCGUUAAUCGGAAUUACUGGGCGUAAAGCGUGCGCAGGCGGUUAUAUAAGACAGUUGUGAAAUCCCCGGGCUCAACCUGGGAACUGCAUCUGUGACUGCAUCGCUGGAGUACGGUAGAGGGGGGUGGAAUUCCGCGUGUAGCAGUGAAAUGCGUAGAUAUGCGGAGGAACACCGAUGGCGAAGGCAAUCCCCUGGACCUGUACUGACGCUCAUGCACGAAAGCGUGGGGAGCAAACAGG
This 253-nucleotide ribosomal RNA is filed under the name uncultured bacterium. RNAcentral describes it as "partial 16S ribosomal RNA". It matches the Rfam family "Bacterial small subunit ribosomal RNA", at positions 524 to 776 of the family's 1533-position model. The record is from RNAcentral.